CCUACGGGAGGCAGCAGUGGGGAAUAUUGCACAAUGGGGGAAACCCUGAUGCAGCGACGCCGCGUGAGUGAAGAAGUAUUUCGGUAUGUAAAGCUCUAUCAGCAGGGAAGAAACCCACCCUCCGGGGUGGCUGACGGUACCUGACUAAGAAGCCCCGGCUAACUACGUGCCAGCAGCCGCGGUAAUAAGUAGGGGGCAAGCGUUAUCCGGAUUUACUGGGUGUAAAGGGAGCGUAGGUGGCAAGGCAAGUCAGAGGUGAAAACCCGGGGCCCAACCCCGGGAGUGCAUUUGAAACUGUAUGGCUAGAGUGCAGGAGAGGUAAGUGGAAUUCGUAGUGUAGCGGUGAAAUGCAUAGAUAUUAGGAGGAACACCGGGGGCGAAGGCGGCUUACUGGACUGUAACUGACACUGAGGCUCGAAAGCGUGGGGAGCAAACAGGAUUAGAUACCCUUGUAGUC
Molecule: ribosomal RNA, 457 nt
Filed under: uncultured bacterium
Lineage: Bacteria
Description: partial 16S ribosomal RNA
Rfam family: Bacterial small subunit ribosomal RNA
Source: RNAcentral